Molecule: long non-coding RNA, 1384 nt
Organism: Numida meleagris (helmeted guineafowl)
Lineage: Eukaryota; Metazoa; Chordata; Aves; Galliformes; Numididae
Exons: 4
Source: RefSeq, a predicted model, not a curated record
GCUCUGGGGAGAUCUGAGAGCGGCCUUUCAGUAUGUGAGACACCAGCAGAGAUAUAGGAAAACACCCUAUUGAGAGCAUAGAUUCUUAUGAAAGAAAGGACCUCAGCUCUCAUCUCCACUUCCAGACGCAAACCUAUUACAGGGAAAACUGUGCUUUAUCUCUGUGAGCAGAACUUGCAAAACUUGCUGAAACAUUUCUCUCAGGGUGGCUUGCAUGUCUUUGGGUAUCACCGGCAUUAAGAAGCUUAUUUGCGUAUCUGACAAAAUGGAUGCAUCCCAUGCAAAAUUAAACUUUACAGACAAAAUCUGUAGUUUGUUACUCUCAGCUGCAGUGAAGGUGUGGGAUCCUUUCUGUGACACAACAAUAAUCACCAUCAUGCCCAAAAUGAGUCUUGCAGAAAUACUGUUCUCAUUAUAACUUCUGCCUUACAAGAAGCUGAGCUUUCAGGAAAAGUCCUUUAACAUUAUCUUUAAUAUUGUUCUCAGGAGAAGUACUUCAUGUCCUCUGUGUUGGAAGAGGCACUGCCUGUGACAGCAUAAAGAAACGGCUCUAUUUAAAUACAUAAAAGCAUAUGAAUUGGCGUAACUUUUUCUCUUUUUCCUGUGCUUGCUUCUGCUUUUCUGAAGAUACUAACUACUUCCAGGAAGAAUGCUGCUGUCUCUUCAGAGGCAUACUUCCAGUUCAUACAGCAGACUUAAGUACAGAGACAAAACAGAAACAAACACAGGUAACUCCAUUCUCCAGUGCAGUCCAUUGUUGGGUGAGGACCUUGAAAAGUUGUGCAUUUAGCCCUGUUAAAUGAUUACACAUAUUAACUGGAGAUAUAACGCUCUUCUGUGAAUCUUUUUUGAAUAGUGAGGUGAAAAUAUAUUGGAAAAAAAACAACAAUGGAACUAGAUACAGAGGCUAGAGAUGAAAAUGAGCCCCCAUGUCUCCCCUUCCUAACUUCAGUGAUUCAUCACAGAUAGGAUUUCAAAAAUCUGAAAGAAUUAUUUGGUGUUUAAUCUAGAAAGUCUUAAUUGUGCCUUUUUUGAAAAGACAUAUGUAACUAAACUGCAAAUUUGAAAUUCACUUCCCUUUUCAACAGUGAGGUAAGCAAGAUGCAUUCCUAUUUAUGCUACUUCAUGACAUAUUUUAAAUGUCUUCCCUUUUCUGAUGAAUUUUUUGUGUCAGAGAACACUAACUGAUGUGCUGCAUUUGCACAGCAGUCCUCAACAUAACCAUGCUACUACAACAUUUUUAUUUACACAGGAGAAAACAGAUUCAUUUAAAUGUGUAUUAGACACAUAAGGAAAUCAUCAGAACACACGUACAGCAGAAGCCUUUUUAGGCGAUGCUGACUUCAAAUGUUUAGGCAGAAACUGUGACAAAGCAGUAAUGCAA